ACAGAGGUCCCAAGCGUUGUUCGGAUUCACUGGGCGUAAAGGGUGCGUAGGUGGUGAGGUAAGUCGGAUGUGAAAUCUCGGAGCUCAACUCCGAAACUGCAUUGGAAACUACCUUGCUCGAGGAAUGGAGGGGGGACUGGAAUUCUCGGUGUAGCAGUGAAAUGCGUAGAUAUCGAGAGGAACACCAGUGGCGAAGGCGAGUCCCUGGACAUCUCCUGACACUGAGGCACGAAAGCUAGGGGAGCAAACAGGA
Molecule: ribosomal RNA, 253 nt
Filed under: uncultured prokaryote
Description: partial 16S ribosomal RNA
Rfam family: Bacterial small subunit ribosomal RNA
Source: RNAcentral